GGGUCAGUAGGUUGGUCGUGCCACCGGUACGUACUGGUCUCACUGAUUCCUCCUUCCUGAAGAACCGUAAUGCCAUUAAUUUGGUGUUGCGGGGAAACAGGACUGUUACUUUGAAAAAAUUAGAGUGUUUAAAGCAAGCUAACGCUUGAAUACAUUAGCAUGGAAUAAUGAAAUAGGACGAUCGAUCUUAUCUUGUUGGUUUCUAGGAUUGACGUA
This 216-nucleotide ribosomal RNA is filed under the name Glomeromycotina sp. Its description in RNAcentral is "partial small subunit ribosomal RNA". The stretch from base 40 to 216 matches the Rfam family "Eukaryotic small subunit ribosomal RNA", at positions 686 to 864 of the family's 1831-position model. The record is from RNAcentral. Lineage: Eukaryota; Fungi; Glomeromycota.